AGAGAGACGGCGGGGCGAGAGAGGGGGGGGGGAGGGAGAGAGGUGAUGGAGAGGGAGAUGGCAGAAGGGGAAGAGGACAGGGAGAACGGAGGGGAGGGGGAAGUGGCGGCGCCGGUGGUGGCGGAGGAGGAAGUGGGCUCCAGCCUCACCAUGAAGCGGGUGGCUGCUGCGAAGCAGUUCAUCGAGAACCACUACAGGAACCAGAUGAAGAACAUCCAGGAGCGUAAAGAAAGGCGUUGGUUUUUAGAGAAACAAUUAGCCUCUUCGCAAGUUCCGAAGGAGGAGAAAAUCAAUUUACUAAAAGAUCUGGAGAGGAAGGAGACGGAGUUCAUGCGACUUAAAAGGCAUAAAAUCUGUGUGGAUGAUUUUGAGCUACUCACCAUUAUUGGGAGAGGAGCUUUUGGAGAGGUCAGACUGUGCCGGGAGAAGUCCUCCGGCAAUAUUUAUGCAAUGAAAAAGCUGAAAAAGUCUGAAAUGGUCAGCAGGGGUCAGGUGGAGCAUGUUAGAGCUGAAAGGAACCUGCUUGCUGAGGUUGCGAGCCAUUGCAUCGUGAAGCUCUACUAUUCAUUUCAAGAUGCUGAAUACCUAUACCUAAUUAUGGAAUAUCUUCCGGGAGGGGAUAUGAUGACCCUGCUAAUCAGAGAAGAUACCUUAACUGAAAAUGUGGCUAGAUUUUACAUCGCCGAGAGUGUAUUGGCCAUAGAAUCAAUUCAUAAACAUCAUUAUAUUCACAGAGAUAUUAAGCCUGACAAUCUUCUCUUGGACAAAAAUGGUCACAUGAAGCUGUCAGACUUUGGCUUGUGCAAGCCAAUUGACUGCUCAAAACUUUUGACUUUGAAUGAGGAUGAACCAAUGAGUGAUGAAAAUCUUAAUGAGUCAAUGGACAUUGAUGGAAGCUUCUCAGAUACAAAUACAGGUAGAAGGUGGAAUAGCCCCCAUGAACAACUUCAGCAUUGGCAGAUGAACAGGAGGAAACUGGCGUUUUCCACAGUGGGAACACCAGACUAUAUUGCUCCAGAAGUAUUACUGAAAAAGGGAUAUGGAAUGGAAUGUGAUUGGUGGUCAUUGGGUGCUAUAAUGUAUGAGAUGCUUGUUGGCUAUCCACCAUUCUACUCCGAUGACCCAAUUACCACUUGUCGAAAGAUUGUGCAUUGGAGACAUAAUUUGAAAUUUCCUGAAGAGGCAAGGUUGUCACCUGAGGCAAAGGAUCUUAUUUGCAGAUUGCUAUGUGAUGUUGAACACAGACUUGGCAGUGGAGGUGCAGACCACAUAAAGGCCCAUCCUUGGUUCAAAGAUAUCAUAUGGGAUAAACUUUACGAAAUGGAGGCAGCAUUUAAACCUGAAAUAAAUGGAGAACUGGAUACCCAGAACUUCCUGAAGUUUGAUGAAUUAGAGCCACCUACUCCAGCAAGAACUGGUUCUGGAUCAAGAAAGAUGUUGCUAAAUUCUAAGGACUUGAGCUUUGUCGGAUAUACUUACAAGAACUUUGAGGCUGUCAAAGGCUUUCAUCAUUCUUUUGAUAUGAAAAGAAGUACGUCACCAAAGCGGCCCGCAAUCGAUUCCAUAUUUGGUGAAGUGCCUCGCACCAAUUCAGCCAUGGACUCUGCUAGGAAAUCAACUGGAGGGGAUACUGACGUACCCAUGGUCUCAUCAGGCGAUGCAAUGUCCCCAUAACUUGCUAUCUGCACUGAUUAAUAGUUUAUUCAUGUGCCCUCCGUGAUGUGGCUGUGGAAGUGACCUGCUUGUUUUUAGUCAGAUGCAGCCAACAAAAUCAGAAAAUGAGGCAAUUCAGUUUGCGGCACUGUUUGUCUUUCUGUAAACGUGCGUGGCCUGGUGGAAGCCGCACUUUUUCAGUAAUCUGCGAAUGCCGUGGAGCAACUACCAGUCUCCAGCAGCGCAUCUGCGACUUUGGAUUUACUCAAUCACCGUGGCCGAAUUCUCCUCGAGGAGGUGAUCCACUUCUAGUACCUGCUUCUCAUAGGAGAUACCCCUCCAAGCAGUUCUAAGUUCGGUACACACCACAGAUGUAUCGAAGAUUCGUCGAUUUUUUGCUGCUACUAGUCCGGUGUCGUGAUUUCUAAUGAUGAAUGCUACACCUUUGUAGCUUUUGUCUUUGGUUACACUGUCGUCGAAGUUUAUUUUGAGAAAAUCAGGAGGAGGGGCACUUGGGAGGUAAACAUAGUUUUGGACACUGUAAGGGUAGAAUAGGGGCUUGAAUGUUCCUAUUUAAUGCCCCUUUGCCUCCAAGCAUCUAGAGUUUAGAUUAUUUUGAUUAGCAGUUACUUUGUUCGAUGCUUAAAGGUUGUUAGAUGGUGAAAGGGACUUUUUUAAGGAGUCUCUUAUUAUAUGGAUUCAGUUCAACCUGAAAUCAUGCAUUUGGGACAAGCAAAGUGGUGAUGCAUUUGCAAUUAGAGUUUUGUACAGGCUGGACAUUUUCUCUGGGCACGUCACCAAUCUCAAA
Molecule: RNA transcript, 2461 nt
Organism: Phoenix dactylifera (date palm)
Lineage: Eukaryota; Viridiplantae; Streptophyta; Magnoliopsida; Arecales; Arecaceae
Source: RefSeq, a predicted model, not a curated record